UCCAAGGACCCUCUCCAGACCCAGCCUCCGGAUUGAGCCAGGCUCUGUGAUCGCCCUGGGCAGGCCUGGGGCCCUGUGGUGUCAGGAGACCCUGGAGGCCCAGGAGUGCCGCGGUAUAGAGAGAGAAUCCCAGAGCCCUGGGACAGAGCGAUGCCCCUGGAGCCCGGAAACAAGGCCAAGUUCCCCACCCUCUCAUGGCUGAGGUGUACGCGGGGCGCUACCGCUGUGUCUGCCUCAGCGCUGCUGGCUGCUCAGAGCCCAGUGCCGCCCUGGAGCUGGGGUGACAGUGAGGAAGCCACACCCGAGCAGGAGCUGGGAUGCACGUGGAGGCCUUGACGGAUGCAGGAACGCAGGGUUCGUGAGUGCACCCCAGGAUCAGGCCAGCUGGAGCGAGAGAAAGAGGUGAGUACAGGGGCACAACACACACGCCAUAGAGAAAACCCUCCAUGGGGGCCUCAGCGAUCCAGGUCAUCCAGGGGAGGGGAGCACGCAACCUAGAGGCCACGGGAGACCAGGAAGUCCCGUGGUCAGACCCUGCCACGGCAGCCACAGGCGACUCAAACUCAGGGAAUUCUUUAAGCUGAUGAUCAGGACGGGCCCGGAAUGGUGCUGCCAACAUCCAAACGGCCCUUGGGAGAAACAACGUCCCCAGCCCCAUCCUCCUCCCCAUGCCUCAUCUGCCAGCCAGAG
This 690-nucleotide long non-coding RNA is filed under the name Oryctolagus cuniculus (rabbit). RNAcentral's name for it is "lncRNA (ENSOCUG00000031167.1)". Lineage: Eukaryota; Metazoa; Chordata; Mammalia; Lagomorpha; Leporidae. The record is from RNAcentral.